RNAcentral lists this non-coding RNA (48 nucleotides) under Schistosoma mattheei. Lineage: Eukaryota; Metazoa; Platyhelminthes; Trematoda; Strigeidida; Schistosomatidae. The record is from RNAcentral.
AUUCAACUGACGAGUGUAAAAUAGGAUGAAACGCGCUUCAAACUAGAU